GUGCCAGCAGCCGCGGUAAGACAGAGGUUGCAAACGUUGUUCGGAAUUACUGGGCAUAAAGCGCACGUAGGUGGUUCGCUAAGUCGGAUGUGAAAUUCCCCGGCUCAACCGGGGAACGGCAAUCGAUACUGGCGGACUUGAGGUCCGGAGGGGUGAGUGGAACUCCUGGUGGAGCGGUGAAAUGCGUAGAUAUCAGGAGGAACACCGGUGGCGAAAGCGGCUCACUGGCCGGAAUCUGACACUGAGGUGCGAAAGCUAGGGUAGCAAACGGGAUUAGAUACCCCCGUAGUCC
Molecule: ribosomal RNA, 292 nt
Filed under: uncultured bacterium
Lineage: Bacteria
Description: partial 16S ribosomal RNA
Rfam family: Bacterial small subunit ribosomal RNA
Source: RNAcentral